This 441-nucleotide ribosomal RNA is filed under the name uncultured bacterium. RNAcentral's name for it is "partial 16S ribosomal RNA". It matches the Rfam family "Bacterial small subunit ribosomal RNA", at positions 338 to 795 of the family's 1533-position model. The record is from RNAcentral.
CCUACGGGAGGCAGCAGUGGGGAAUAUUGCACAAUGGGGGAAACCCUGAUGCAGCGACGCCGCGUGAGUGAAGAAGUACUUCGGUAUUUAAAGCUCUAUCAGCAGGGAAGAAAAAAGACGGUACCUGACGAAGAAGCCCCGGCUAACUACGUGCCAGCAGCCGCGGUAAUACGUAGGGGGCAAGCGUUAUCCGGAAUUACUGGGUGUAAAGGGUGCGUAGGUGGGAUGGUAAGUCAGAAGUGAAAGCCCGGGGCUUAACCCCGGGACUGCUUUUGAACCUGUCAUGCUUGAGUGCAGGAGAGGUAAGCGGAAUUCCUAGUGUAGCGGUGAAAUGCGUAGAUAUUAGGAGGAACACCAGUGGCGAAGGCGGCUUACUGGACUGUCACUGACGCUGAUGCACGAAAGCGUGGGGAGCAAACAGGAUUAGAUACCCUUGUAGUC